CGUGAGAUGUUGGGUUAAGUCCCGCAACGAGCGCAACCCUUGCCAUUAGUUGCUACGAAAGGGCACUCUAAUGGGACUGCCGGUGACAAACCGGAGGAAGGUGGGGAUGACGUCAGGUCAUCAUGGCCCUUAUGGGUAGGGCUACACACGUCAUACAAUGGCCGGUACAGAGGGCUGCCAACCGCGAGGGGGAGCCAAUCCCAGAAAACCGGUCGUAGUCCGGAUCGUAGUCUGCAACUCGACUGCG
This 247-nucleotide ribosomal RNA is filed under the name uncultured bacterium. Its description in RNAcentral is "partial 16S ribosomal RNA". It matches the Rfam family "Bacterial small subunit ribosomal RNA", at positions 1066 to 1320 of the family's 1533-position model. The record is from RNAcentral.